GUGCGCGGGCGGAUGGAUCAACGCCGCCAAGUGGGUAAGGUCUGAGGAUUGCGUCAUUAGGCGAUUUUGUUGCUGUACGAACACCACAGAAUGUACUUUGACGACCUAGAUGGUGGAGCCUGGACACACCUCGGCUCUGUGGUGUGGCCUGCUGCUUCCAGGCUGCAAACCUGACAGCAUGGGGCUGUACUGAAUACCGCAGACCAUUGUAAUUCAUGGGGAAAGCGCGAAUGCAGUCCCCCACUACAACAAAUUAUGCAGUCGAGUUUUCCACAUUUGGGAAUAUCACAGGGGUCAGCACAUCCGGAGUGCAAUCGAUGAGCCCCACGCUGGGAAAAACCACCUUCGUGAUCAUGGUAUCUUCCCUGCCAGGGAAGGCCGGAGAACUGUAUUUCUGGCCAGAGCUGCUGCAGAAGGUCUCUGUUCGGCAUCAGGUUGGAUCAUGUUCUGAUGAUAUAGGACCAAGAGGAAAGAAACAGAAGCUUCACUAUUGGGAAAAAUCUUCCCAUUCAAGCCAACUCCAACCCAGCUUCUCCUGGUGGAUUUUAGAGAAACCAAUCAGCUUCAUUUUCAACUUCUUCUAUGACUCCAGAGGAUUCACUUUGCAUCUUGUGACAAAUGAAUAUAUUACCUGAAAAAAAAAUGACAGGAUAGAUAUUGAAGAAAUAAUUUUUUAUAGGACUCUGGAGUGAAGGGAUUAAUAUUGACCAGAGCCAAUGAGGUCAUCUCAUCCUUGAGGGGAGCAGGUGUGAGCUUCAAAUGCUUAGGGCCUCUGGAAGGAAGCUUCCCUGUUGGAGAAAUCACCAACCGGCUCAGCAUGGUCUGAAUGAGGAUGACAAAAGGAGUUGCUGCACAGGGGGAAAGCGAAGUUCCCAGGAGUAAGAUGUGCAAGAAGCGGGCAGCCUUGCAUCUCAGGGCUGAGUUCCCUCAACUGUGUGCUUGAGGGAAGUUCUCCCCUUGCAGACACACUGCUGAGUGAUAAGGAAGCACCUAGACUCCACUCUGACCAGACUUGGUUCUGAGGCCUAUGAAAUGUUGAUGGGAAGAACAGAAGCAGGAAAAUCUAUCUAUUCAAAUUUGCAAGACGUGGAAACUUUUAUUCACCUUCCUGGUUAGACUGUUCCUUUGUCAAAGUAAAGCUAAGGCCAUGGAAAAUGAGCUAUUUGAGAGUUUGUCGCUCCAAGGAAGAACAUGCUGGCCUAAUUGUCCCCCAAGUCAGGAGAGAGAAUUGUAAAAAACACUUAAACAGGCCUAAGUAAAGGUCCAGCACAUUAUUUAUUUAAGACUGAAUUAGAACUGAGUCAUUCCGACUCUGAAAAAAGAGUGUUGUUGGAUUCUUAUGUAUUUAAUGGGUCUGCCCUAUUGAAAACCAUUGUGAAGUAUGGUUUCCCAAGCAAGAAAUGACACUUUCACUGUCAGUCUUUCUAGGAGUCUGGCAGAAUCCAGGACCGGGAUUACCCUUAUUUAUGAAGCGACCUUAGACUAACAGUGGCUCUCUGGGUCUCCAGACAAUUGGCCAGGGACUCUAAAAACCAGAAACAAAGUUGAGAGAACUCCAUGCUGGUGGAGAAAAACAGCUGGCCUUUAUCACCAGAAUGUGCCCCAUAGAAGCAGCAAAGCAGCAAGCGACGUUCUUAAACAAGGGCCUGUGGGCCUCGUCAAGAUCUGGAGGAAUCAUCUACGACUCACUGCUGAGUGAGAGGGCUAGGCAGUGUCUUUAAGGUCCUGCCAGCUUUAACAUUGUAUGCUUUUUCUUUUGUUCAAUCUCUCACCACAACUGGAAGUGUUGCCUCAACUACACAGGAGAAAGUUUGCAGUAACUUAGAGAAAACAUUAUUUUAAUCACCAGUGUAUGUUCUCCUGCUCCCUGGACAAAUCCAUCAGCAGCGGCAACACUGACCAGGUCCAGAUUGGGGCCGCUGCGGUGGAUGUGAAUCCAUUGAAACUAGGGGUCUCCAGUGCUCCUGACUCCUCACAGCUCUGUUCCUAUGACAAGGAUGGUCAGCAAAGCCAGCAACCUUGAAGGGGGACCUUCUUCUAAUCUCCUCCCUGCCUGCUGAGAGAGUGUACAGAAGCAGCCACUUGUCAGCUGCGAUGAAUCCAAUGAUAAUUACAUAAAUCAUUAACAAUACUUGAUAUUUGCCCAUCACAUUUCUCAUUUCAAAGUGCUCAUAAAAUUGUAUCUCAUGGGUGGCACUGCCGGCACAACAGAAUUCCAAGGAAGGAUUACGGGCUAAGUAAAUAAAGCCUGGAGGCUGCUUU
Molecule: long non-coding RNA, 2262 nt
Organism: Homo sapiens (human)
Lineage: Eukaryota; Metazoa; Chordata; Mammalia; Primates; Hominidae
Gene: WEE2-AS1
Product: WEE2 antisense RNA 1
Source: Ensembl